RNAcentral lists this ribosomal RNA (511 nucleotides) under Lecanosticta acicola. RNAcentral describes it as "SSU rRNA". It matches the Rfam family "Bacterial small subunit ribosomal RNA", at positions 351 to 909 of the family's 1533-position model. Lineage: Eukaryota; Fungi; Ascomycota; Dothideomycetes; Mycosphaerellales; Mycosphaerellaceae. The record is from RNAcentral.
AUUUGGGGGAAUAUAUGUUACUAUAUGAGUAUGGGUAUACGGUAAGAUUCUUACUGUACCAAUUGAUUUAGUCAAAUAUAGUUCUAAAUAGGAGAUUGAUAAUGACAGACUUCUAUUUACAUGUCUCGACCAAUUCUUGUGCCAGCAGUCGCGGCAACACAAGUGAGACUAGUGUUAUUCAUCUUUAUUGGGUUUAAAGGGUACCUAGACGGCAUAUUCAGCCCCAAAAGGGUACAGUCAUGCUAGAGUUUAAUGGGAGAGGUAGAUAUUAGAACUAUUGGUGUAGAGAUGAAAUUCUUUGAUACUAAUGGGAUGUAUAAUGGCGAAGACAAUCCUCUAUGUAAAAACUGACGUUGAGGGACGAAGGCUUGGGGAGCGAAUAGGAUUAGAUACCCUAGUAGUCCAGGCAGAAAAUUAUGAGUGUCAUAGACUAAAAAUUUAAUUAGUGUAUAAAUGAAAGUGUAAGCACUCCACCUCAAGAGUAAUGUGGCAACGCAGGAACUGAAAUCAU